AACGAACGCUGGCGGCAGGCUUAACACAUGCAAGUCGAGCGGGCCCUUCGGGGUCCGUGGUUGACGGGUGAGUAAUACGUGGGAACGUACUUAUUGGUUCGGAACAACUCCGGGAAACCGGAGCUAAUACCGGAUAAGCCCUUAGGGGGAAAGAUCUAUCGCCAAACGAUCGGCCCGCGUCUGAUUAGCUUGUCGGUGGGGUAACGCCCCACCAAGGCGACGAUCAGUAGCUGGUCUGAGAGGAUGAGCAGCCACACUGGGACUGAGACACGGCCCAGACUCCUACAGGAGGCAGCAAGGGGGAAUAUUGGACAAUGGGCGCAAGCCUGAUCCAGCCAGGCCGCGUGAGUGAUGAAGGCCUGAGGGUUGUAAAUCUCGUUUGUCCGGGAAGAUAAUGACGGUACCGGAAGAAUAAGCCCCGGCUAACUUCGUG
Molecule: ribosomal RNA, 433 nt
Filed under: uncultured bacterium
Lineage: Bacteria
Description: partial 16S ribosomal RNA
Rfam family: Bacterial small subunit ribosomal RNA
Source: RNAcentral